RNAcentral lists this ribosomal RNA (491 nucleotides) under uncultured bacterium. RNAcentral describes it as "partial 16S ribosomal RNA". It matches the Rfam family "Bacterial small subunit ribosomal RNA", at positions 29 to 507 of the family's 1533-position model. The record is from RNAcentral.
AGUGAACGCUGGCGGUAGGCCUAACACAUGCAAGUCGAACGGCAGCACAGUAAGAGCUUGCUCUUACGGGUGGCGAGUGGCGGACGGGUGAGGAAUACAUCGGAAUCUACUUUUUCGUGGGGGAUAACGUAGGGAAACUUACGCUAAUACCGCAUACGACCUACGGGUGAAAGCAGGGGAUCUUCGGACCUUGCGCGAUUGAAUGAGCCGAUGUCGGAUUAGCUAGUUGGCGGGGUAAAGGCCCACCAAGGCGACGAUCCGUAGCUGGUCUGAGAGGAUGAUCAGCCACACUGGACUGAGACACGGUCCAGACUCCUACGGGAGGCAGCAGUGGGGAAUAUUGGACAAUGGGCGCAAGCCUGAUCCAGCCAUACCGCGUGGGUGAAGAAGGCCUUCGGGUUGUAAAGCCCUUUUGUUGGGAAAGAAAAGCAGCAGGUUAAUACCCCGCUGUUCUGACGGUACCCAAAGAAUAAGCACCGGCUAACUUCGUG